AAGGGAUAGUGGCGGACGGGGUGAGUAACGCGUGGGUAACCUGCCCCAACAGACCGGGACAACACUUGGAAACGGGCGCUAAUACCGGAUAAGCUUUUUUUUCCGGCAUCGGAGAGAAAGGAAAAGGCGGCCUCUAUAUAUAUGCUGCCGUUGUUGGAUGGACCCGCGUCUGAUUAGCUGGUUGGUGGGGUAAAGGCCUACCAAGGCGACGAUCAGUAGCCGGCCUGAGAGGGUGAACGGCCACACUGGGACUGAGACACGGCCCAGACUCCUACGGGAGGCAGCAGUGGGGAAUCUUCCGCAAUGGACGCAAGUCUGACGGAGCAACGCCGCGUGUAUGACGAAGGCCUUCGGGUUGUAAAAUACUGUCUUUGGGGACGAAUGUUAGCUAUGAAAAUAUUGUAGUUAAAUGACGGUACCCGAGGAGGAAGCCCCGGCUAACUACGUGCCAGCAGCCGCGGUAAUACGUAGGGGGCGAGCGUUGUCCGGAAUCAUUGGGCGUAAAGGGCGCGUAGGCGGAUAGUUAAGUCCGAUGUGAAAUACCGAGGCUCAACCUUGGGGCUGCAUCGGAAACUGGUUAUCUUGAGAACAGGAGAGGAAAGUGGAAUUCCUAGUGUAGCGGUGAAAUGCGUAGAUAUUAGGAGGAACACCAGUGGCGAAGGCGACUUUCUGGACUGUAACUGACGCUGAGGCGCGAAAGCGUGGGGAGCAAACAGGAUUAGGUACCCUGGUAGUCCACGCCGUAAACGAUGAGUGCUAGGUGUAGAGGGUAUCGACCCCUUCUGUGCCGCAGUUAACACAAUAAGCACUCCGCCUGGGGACUACGGCCGCAAGGUUAAAACUCAAAUGAAUUGACGG
RNAcentral lists this ribosomal RNA (858 nucleotides) under uncultured bacterium. RNAcentral's name for it is "bacterial SSU rRNA". It matches the Rfam family "Bacterial small subunit ribosomal RNA", at positions 87 to 916 of the family's 1533-position model. The record is from RNAcentral.